AGUAACUGCGAGUGAAGCGGCAAAAGCUCAAAUUUGAAAUCUGGCACCUUUGGCGUCCGAGUUGUAAUUUGGAGAGGCAUCUUCGGGGAUGGCAUACUGUCCUAAGUUUCUUGGAACAGGACGUCACAGAGGGUGAGAAUCCCGUGCCUGGAUGGUUGUCCAUCCCCAUUGUGAAGGGUCUUCGACGAGUCGAGUUGUUUGGGAAUGCAGCUCAAAAUGGGUGGUAAACGUCAUCUAAAGCUAAAUAUUGGCGAGAGACCGAUAGCGCACAAGUAGAGUGAUCGAAAGAUGAAAAGCACUUUGAAAAGAGAGUAAAAUAGUACGUGAAAUUGUUGAAAGGGAAGCGCUUGAGACCAGACACGGUCCGUGGUAAUCGCCCGCGCUUCGGUGCAGGUGCUCUUGCCAUGACCGGUGCCAGCAUCGGUUCUGGCGGUGGGACAAAAGGUAGGGGAAUGUGGCUUCCUCACUGGGAGUGUUAGAGCCCCUGCCACAAUGCCACCAGUCGGGACCGAGGACCGCGCUUCAGCUAGGAUGUUGGCGUAAUGGUCUUAAGCGACCCGUCUUGAAACACGGACCAAGGAGUCUAACAUCUAUGCGAGUGUUCGGGUGGAAAACCCUUGCGCGUAAUGAAAGUGAACGGAGGUGGGAACCCCGCAAGGGAGUGCACCAUCGACCGAUCCUGAUGUCUUCGGAAGGAUUUGAGUAAGAGCAUAGCUGUUGGGACCCGAAAGAUGGUGAACUAUGCCUGAAUAGGGUGAAGCCAGAGGAAACUCUGGUGGAGGCUCGCAGCGGUUCUGACGUGCAAAUCGAUCGUCAAAUUUGGGUAUAGG
This 830-nucleotide ribosomal RNA is filed under the name Parascutellinia carneosanguinea. Its description in RNAcentral is "partial large subunit ribosomal RNA". It matches the Rfam family "Eukaryotic large subunit ribosomal RNA", at positions 82 to 921 of the family's 3401-position model. The record is from RNAcentral. Lineage: Eukaryota; Fungi; Ascomycota; Pezizomycetes; Pezizales; Pyronemataceae.